RNAcentral lists this long non-coding RNA (316 nucleotides) under Gorilla gorilla gorilla (western lowland gorilla). Its description in RNAcentral is "lncRNA (ENSGGOG00000044344.1)". Lineage: Eukaryota; Metazoa; Chordata; Mammalia; Primates; Hominidae. The record is from RNAcentral.
GUCAUUAGGCACCAGAACCCUGAAUUCCGAGAUAGAGGGAUGGCUGAUCUCAUGCUAAUGAGGUUUAGACCAUGUUGAGCCCUACUUUUGUUCUGUGGGAAGUUGGAUAUCCCUUAUACACCUAUGGCUCCAUCUUCAUCAUUAUUGUAAUUAUCUGGCAAGUGAAAAGGAGCCACCAUGAAUUGAACUUGGAAGUCAAAAGGAGCUGCUGCUGGCAUCCAGCAGGACUUAUCUGCGAAUCAGAUGGGAAGUAUAGAAUUUGGAAAAGCCUCCAAGUGAAUCCGAAAUAAGCAGAGAAGGAAAAUGGAGUAAAAAG